UGUGACAUGCUCAGAACYGAMGAACGCUGGGCGGCGUGCCUAACACAUGCAAGUCGAACGGUAACAGGGACUUCGGUCCGCUGACGAGUGGCGCACGGGUGAGUAACGCGUGGAGUUACCUACCCAUCAGUGAGGAACAACCUGGAGAAAUCCAGGCUAAUACCGCAUACGACCUUCGGGUGAAAGAGGGGGAUCUUCGGACCUCUCGCUGAUGGAUGGUUCCGCGUCCGAUUAGUUAGUUGGUAAGGUAAUGGCUUACCAAGACGAUGAUCGGUAGCUGGUUUGAGAGGAUGAUCAGCCACACUGGAACUGAGACACGGUCCAGACUCCUACGGGAGGCAGCAGUGGGGAAUUUUGCACAAUGGGCGCAAGCCUGAUGCAGCGACGCCGCGUGCGGGAAGAAGGCCUUCGGGUUGUAAACCGCUUUCAACAGGGAAGAAGGAAUGAGGGUCAAUACCCCUCUGCCUUGACGGUACCUGUAGAAGAAGCCCCGGCUAAUUUCGUGCCAGCAGCCGCGGUAAUACGAAAGGGGCAAGCGUUGUUCGGAUUUACUGGGCGUAAAGAGAUCGUAGGUGGCUUGUUAAGUCGGAUGUGAAAUCCCGGGGCUCAACCCCGGAACUGCAUUCGAUACUGGCAGGCUUGAGUUCGGGAGGGGGAAGCGGAAUUCCGUGUGUAGCAGUGAAAUGCGUAGAUAUACGGAGGAACACCUGAGGCGAAGGCGGCUUCCUGGACCGAUACUGACACUGAGGAUCGAAAGCGUGGGUAGCAAACAGGAUUAGAUACCCUGGUAGUCCACGCCCUAAACGAUGUCUACUAGCCGUUGCGGGUAUCGACCCCUGCAGUGGCGCAGCUAACGCAAUAAGGUAGACCGSCUGGGGGGAGUMCGGCSSCAAGCURACACUCUCAAAAUGAUGCUCG
This 918-nucleotide ribosomal RNA is filed under the name uncultured Zetaproteobacteria bacterium. RNAcentral's name for it is "bacterial SSU rRNA". It matches the Rfam family "Bacterial small subunit ribosomal RNA", at positions 14 to 915 of the family's 1533-position model. Lineage: Bacteria; Pseudomonadati; Pseudomonadota; Candidatius Mariprofundia. The record is from RNAcentral.